This 704-nucleotide long non-coding RNA is filed under the name Parus major (Great Tit). RNAcentral describes it as "lncRNA (ENSPMJG00000011905.1)". The record is from RNAcentral. Lineage: Eukaryota; Metazoa; Chordata; Aves; Passeriformes; Paridae.
GAUAAUUUGAGACACGUUGAGGAAUGAGUGCAUAAAAACAUGUUGUGUAAUCAUGUGUAAAUAAAUUUACUGCUGUGAAUAAAAAGAUUUCUUCAAAGGUACACUGAGCUCCCUAUGGGAGCAGCUUGGAAGACCAUGAAAAUUAUGACUUCAUACCUCCCCUGCUUGGUUCCAGGAAUUAUUUUAAGUGUAAUGACUGCUCUGAAUUACUUUUAUCUCUGUUAUUAAUAUUACAUUGACAUUGUCUUGUUUCUUUGUAAAGUUUUGAGGACAAGAAAGCCAUAACCUUAUCUUUGAGGCAUCUUCCUCCAGCCUGUUCCCCUCAGCCCUCCCAAGCUGACAGGAGAAAUAUCUGCCUCAUCUUUCAAGGUUCAUGGCAGGAUAAAGAGAGUUAAUAACCAAGUGACCUAAAGAAAGAAACACAUCUUUCAUUCUUUUUUCCAUGUUCUUUUUCAGUGCUGCCACACAGAGGCAGAGUUGAGGCUGCUUCUAAAGGGAAGGAGUGAAGGAAGAAAAUCCUUUUUGGUUAGAAAUUACCUGGAUUUCCUGCUGGGGACACCCCAUCACCCUUCAAGACUUUUUCCUUAUCCAAGAACUCUUGGUUUAGGUUGUUUUCCUAAGAGCUGCUGGGUUUUGAUACAGGAUGAAGGAUGAUGAAAUAAGAGAGCCCUGUGUCAUCAAGAAAUCAUCUUUUCUUGAUGAUG